Long non-coding RNA from Equus caballus (horse), 3596 nucleotides. RefSeq lists it as uncharacterized. Lineage: Eukaryota; Metazoa; Chordata; Mammalia; Perissodactyla; Equidae. The record is from RefSeq and is a predicted model, not a curated record.
UCCCUCCUGGGUGUUUCUUUGGCCCACCUUUCCUUCUCCUCUGAGACUUCGUUUUCUUGUUGGUAGAUGGGGGCUGAUACUGUAAACAUCACAAAAAUAAUUGCAUUGAGAACAGAUGGUUCCCUCGGUGUCUCGGAAGACAGAGCCUUUGAGUCAGCCCAGAAUCCCGGGCUCCAUAGGAGGCAGGAGACAGCAUUGGUGCUGGAGAGGUGUCUAGACCUCACUUACAAGACCCAACAUUCCAGAACUGUGGGAGUCGUCUCUGAUCUCCCAACAUUUCAGAACUUUAGGACUCAUCUCUGAUCCCCCAACACUCCAGAACUCUGUGACUCAUCUCUGACCCCACCCCCUCCCCAACUAGAAAUCGAGAGGUACUGGGUCACCCGAGAAGAGAAAGAAUUAACCUGCCUUUGCCCCCUCAAGCACACCUUCCAGCCACAUUCACCUAAAAGUUACUUCUGUGGUGCUUCCUCCCUGACUCACCCACUGGCUACUGGGUCCUUUGUGCACCAGCUUGUGUUCAGUCCCUUUUCAUCACUCAGGGUGGCUCUCUGGGGUCACAUCUCUGCUAAGCGCCCUGGUCCUCCUCCAGUCUCAGCUGCAGUUUAGGACCAGGGAGCAGCAAGGAUAUCAUGUUGUUCUUGGUCUUUCAUCUUGUGCUGUCUGCACAAUGCUCAUUUUGGAUUCAAAGAUUAAAACCACAGAUCGCCCAGAGAAGUGGAAGGGAGAAUCUGCAACGUGGAGUAACCAAGGGGAUGGACAUCUAAGGUUCUGGAGCAACUUGCCUGCUACCGAAAGAAGACACCAACCUUUAUCUUGGGAUGGCAGAAAAUAAGGAUCUUUCCAAGUGGGAUUGACCUUUGGCAUCUGUAAAAGUGAACACUGAGAAAAUGUCCUCUUUUCUAUGAACUGCAUGUCAUAAACUUUUCUUGAAAACCUAUCAAAUUUAGGCAUUGAUUUCACUUUGGCCUGUGUUAAUUUUUAAUUGCCAGUGUUUGCUGGUCCCACUACUUCUCAAUUGGACGAGGUCAUCUUUUCUAGGAAUCAUGGCCCAAUUUGACCUGCCACUACCCCCACUACUCAGCAACUCUUUCUCAGCUACUAAAUCCCCACAGCCCAAAAGACCAAAGUCUUCCUGUUACCCAAUCAAGUCAAUGUUUGUGAAUCUCUGGGUCUAAAAGGAAUGAAGCAGAGUUCUAUAAAGCUGCCCCUUUCUUCAAACCCUCCUUUCUUUUGGAAGCCUCAACUCAAGGGCAGGUGUGAAAAUAGUGCUGUUCCAUCUGCUUCUGUCUCCAAGGCCAGAGAGCUAAAGCACAAGGCCUAGGGGCAAGAAAACUAGAGAUUCAGAGCAGAAACAUUACUGUUUUAGGACUCUUUGGAGAUACGGGCUGACAGAGUGGGAAGCAGUGUGAUGUAUUACUUUAGCCUGAUACAAUGCCCUGGAGGACGAGCGUCUUGCCAGGACAGCACAAUUUACUAGCUUAGGUCUGAUUCCAGGGCUUGGGGGAGAUAGAUGUAGCCAACAAAAUUAUACUUUGGCAAGAGAAAUGCUUUGCUGGACAGAAAUGUUGUCCUAAGGGAAUAGUUUGGUUUAUCAACGUCUAAGGUAAAAGAUAAUCAAAUGCCAAGAGGUCAUUUUUAUGUUUGAAUUAUUUCAGUUGUGCCUGCUAUAUAACUUAGCUACCAUUUUCUAGUUAUAUAGUUUCAAUUAUUUAGAACAUAUUACAGGGUUUGAGUAUGAUCUGCCUGUGACAUCUGUCAUACCAGUGAAGGAGGCAAUAUAUGGAGUGGUUAAAAGCACAGGUUUUAGAGUCAGACAGACUUGGAAUCACUGUUCACCUUGGGCAAGGUACCAGAUCGUCUAAGAGUCAGAUCCUCUUAUGUAAAAUGGACAUAUAUAAAAGAGUAUCUUCCAGGACUGCUGUGAAGAUUAAGUGAGAAUGUACAUAAAGUGUUUAGCACAAUGUCUGGUAUGCAAUAAACUCUAAAUAAAUGUUAGUUAUUAUAAUCAUUAUUAUUUGGAGUGGAGUUGGCUAACAUAGCUGGGCAGGUAUCCUCUUCCUUUCUUCCUCUUAAAAAAUGCAUCCUUUCCAAAGUUUGGUUGAAAAAGAUGGCCUUUCUAGAUAAAGAAGGACUGUUCUCCAUUAAAAUAAAUGAGUAACUGUUCCUCUGAAAGGAUAUCCAAAUGUUAUGUUUUAUAGACUGUCUUGAAUAGUUUAAAUCUAGAAUAGACCCUCUGUGAAAAUGGAUCCUUCAAUCAAGUAAAACAAGGCAAAGUCAUAUGGGCUUAUCUUGACCUUUCGUUACCUUUGAUUUCUCCCAAAUAACCCACUAGCUAAAAUAAUUGGUUUUUCACUGAUAGUAUCUAUCCACUUACUUCAAAACAAUGCUGCAAGGCAUGGGAUGGGUAUGGGCAACAUACAUGGUCAGAAGUGGUUUCCCAAUUGCUUUCAACCACUGUAUGUAUUUCUCUCCUCUCUCUCUACUUCAUGCCUUGCUUCUUUUCCCCUCCCUCUACAUCUUCCACUCUUCUGCUAUUGACAGCCAUUGACAUUCAUUUUACUCACUAAUGAGCUUUAGGGCAAAGCUCAUGCUAUGAGAGUUCAUGGUAGGCUAGGAAUUAAGAGUCUUAUUCCUUCCCUGAAAUAACUGAAAACUAGGGUUCGCUCUCCUGCCAACCACACUUUGAAAAUAACCAGCCAUCAAGUAUACAGUGUCAGCAGGCCCGCUUAAUCACUACUCCAUCUUGGACCCAAGCCUGAGUGAGAUGAAAACAGACAAGAGAAAAAAUAAGAAGGGUGUUUAUGUUGAGGAAUCGCGUAUGUGGACCUUAGUUAUCUCAUUUUUUUGAGAAAGACUGUGAUGGAAAUUGUAAGGUGAGUCUGGCUCCAACCUGGAGAUUGUAGCCAUGCCACCAGCAUUAUCUCCUAGACUUACACUGUUAUUGUUAGCUUACCCUUUCAGAUGUGGGAAGAGAGGCCUUGUAGGCAAAACAUAAGGCACUCAUGAAUAGAGAGUAAUGCCCCUCUUUCGGGUGCCACAGAAAGAUGAAUCAGCUAAGGGGUAUUAAAACACAUUCUCUUUAUUUUUAGUUUCACUCUAAAGUCUAUCAUUUCUCUUUUCUUUGCAACUUGGCACCUGCCCUGUGUUCUCAGGGGCCCUGCUCCCUGUCAGUCUCCUUACUCAGGCCUCUGUGUUUUGCUCAGAGCACAUCUGGAGAUUUUCCCAGGGGUGGGUGUGACACGGUCAGGAUGGCAGGUGAAGCGGUGAUGGCUGCCAGGGCAGUCUGGCAUGUCUGAAGGGAGAGUGUUGGGAGGUGGAGGCCCCGUAAGGAGAGGCAUCUGGGCCUGCAUCAGGGAGUGAACUGUUGGAAGGCAGCCUCCACAGCAGCAGAGACAGCCCUUGGCACUAUCGCAGAGAAGGAACAGCCAGAGUCAGCGACAGAUUGAACACAGGGAGGGGAGGAGGUGGGGGGGAGGGGGAAGGUGGCUAGGGUCUUACAUGAUAUAAAUAACUGCAUGGUGUGCACUUCAGUGGCAGUUGGGUUGUGUGUGAUGUCCCUUUCACGCUGGUGUGCCAACAGUGUUGUUCUUGAA